CUACAAGGGAGGAGAGGGGUUUAAAUGAACAAUGGCUGUGAAAAAAUAAGACUAACCUAACGUCGGCUGUUCCUCGAUUGCAUCGGCCUCCAUCUACUACCAAUGGUUUGUACCGGCCCAAGGAUCAUGCAUCACCACCAUUCGAUGGCUUUAUCCAAGCGAAGAAGGCACGAGCAAAGGAUCACAACCGCAUCCUCUAUUCCAACCCCUUUUCUUUUGUUUUUUUGGAUAGAAGUUAGCUAGGCUUGUUGGCUUUGGUUCAAAACGGGCUCAAUCAAGUCGGUUCUCACAAAUAUGUUCCAAUAUAAUUUGGUCAUUCACUUACUAACAAAUAACAUUAGCUUUCUCUCUUAAUAGAUAGAAAUACCCCUCGCUCAUGUAUGGGCUUGGAGGAGGAAGAAAAUGAGAAGGAAAAGUAGAUGAUGAGGAAGGAAAGGAGGGGAGAGAGACCAUCGGUGAAGAAUAGGUUGGAGAAGGA
Molecule: long non-coding RNA, 478 nt
Filed under: Elaeis guineensis (African oil palm)
Lineage: Eukaryota; Viridiplantae; Streptophyta; Magnoliopsida; Arecales; Arecaceae
Description: long non-coding RNA (EGUI_LNC011123)
Source: RNAcentral